AUUAGACAAUGGGCGCAAGCCUGAUCUAGCCAUGCCGCGUGAGUGACGAAGGCCCUAGGGUCGUAAAGCUCUUUCACCAGGGAUGAUAAUGACAGUACCUGGUAAAGAAACCCCGGCUAACUCCGUGCCAGCAGCCGCGGUAAUACGGAGGGGGCUAGCGUUGUUCGGAAUUACUGGGCGUAAAGCGCGCGUAGGCGGACUAUUAAGUCAGAGGUGAAAUCCCGGGGCUCAACCCCGGAACUGCCUUUGAUACUGGUAGUCUUGAGUUCGAGAGAGGUGAGUGGAAUUGCGAAUGUAGAGGUGAAAUUCGUAGAUAUUCGCAGGAACACCAGUGGCGAAGGCGGCUCACUGGCUCGAUACUGACGCUGAGGUGCGAAAGUGUGGGGAGCAAACAGGAUUAGAUACCCUGGUAGUCCACACCGUAAACGAUGAAUGCCAGUCGUCGGAUAGCAUGCUAUUCGGUGACACACCUAACGGAUUAAGCAUUCCGCCUGGGGAGUACGGCCGCAAGGUUAAAACUCAAA
This 524-nucleotide ribosomal RNA is filed under the name uncultured Alphaproteobacteria bacterium. RNAcentral's name for it is "bacterial SSU rRNA". It matches the Rfam family "Bacterial small subunit ribosomal RNA", at positions 363 to 905 of the family's 1533-position model. The record is from RNAcentral. Lineage: Bacteria; Pseudomonadati; Pseudomonadota; Alphaproteobacteria.